GAACUUAAGCAUAUCAAUAAGCGGAGGAAAAGAAACCAACUGGGAUUGCCUCAGUAACGGCGAGUGAAGCGGCAUCAGCUCAGAUUUGAAAUCUGGUUCUUUCAGAGCCCGAGUUGUAAUCUGUAGAGGAGUCUUCGGGUUUGGAUCUGGCCUAAGUUUCUUGGAACAGAACGUCAUAGAGGGUGAGAGUCCCGUAUGAGGCCAGCUACCUAUUCCCAUGUGAAGCUUCUUCGACGAGUCGAGUUGUUUGGGAAUGCAGCUCAAAAUGGGUGGUAAAUUUCAUCUAAAGCUAAAUAUUGGCGGGAGACCGAUAGCGCACAAGUAGAGUGAUCGAAAGAUGAAAAGCACUUUGAAAAGAGAGUUAAAAAGUACGUGAAAUUGUUGAAAGGGAAACGCUUGCGAUUAGACUUGCGCUCAGGUGAUCAACCGGUGUUCUCACCGGUGCACUCUCCUGCUUGCAGGCCAGCAUCGGUUUGGGCGGUUGGAUAGAGGCCCUAGGAAUGUAGCUGCCUUCGGGCAGUGUUAUAGCCUAGGGUGUAAUGCAGCCAGCCUGGACCGAGGACCGCGCUUCGGCUAGGAUGCUGGCAUAAUGGUCGUAAGCGACCCGUCUUGAAACACGGACCAAGGAGUCUAACAUCUAUGCGAGUGUUUGGGUGGAAAACCCAAGCGCGUAAUGAAAGUGAACGUAGGUGAGAACCCCUAAGGGUGCAUCAUCGACCGAUCUUGAUGUCUUCGGAUGGAUUUGAGUAAGAGCAUAGCUGUUGGGACCCGAAA
This 774-nucleotide ribosomal RNA is filed under the name uncultured fungus. RNAcentral's name for it is "eukaryotic LSU rRNA". It matches the Rfam family "Eukaryotic large subunit ribosomal RNA", at positions 30 to 821 of the family's 3401-position model. The record is from RNAcentral. Lineage: Eukaryota; Fungi.